RNAcentral lists this long non-coding RNA (392 nucleotides) under Vigna radiata. Its description in RNAcentral is "long non-coding RNA (VRAD_LNC013333)". Lineage: Eukaryota; Viridiplantae; Streptophyta; Magnoliopsida; Fabales; Fabaceae. The record is from RNAcentral.
GUGUAGUAAAGGGAAACAACAGCGGUUAUUUUCGUUUAUAGACAGCGGUUCCACAACCGAGACAUAUACAGGCGAGGCAAAAAGAGAUAGGCUUUUCGCCUCGGUUACGAACCAAGGAAAAAAGAGGUAGGAUUUUGCCUCGGUUCUUAGGUAAUCGAGAUAGUAGCAUGUAUCUUUUUUAUUUAUUUUAGGCCUCGUUUAAUACUGAAUUGAACGGUUCGUGCCCUCACCAAGCCCUAGCCGCGUCAUCACCGUUCUUUUGUUGUCAUCACAGUGCCCUUGUCGCACCCUCGCCACACCCUAGUCGCGUCGUCGCCAUUCUUUCGCUACCAUCACAGUGCCUUGUCGCGUCCUCACCCCACCUUAGUCGCGUCCUCGCCAUUCUUUCGCUG